GAGAUCCCUGCCUGUCAGAGGUCUUCCAAAGGCAAAACUUCCAUUGACACUAAUUGGAAAGCUGCCUAAGUAAAGGGCACUGAGGGAGUUCAGAAGCUGGCUGUAACUCGGCUUGGUUCUUACUUUUGAAAAUCCCUUUCUUGAGAAAAGAGAUGUAUCCUCUAAUGCUCGUAGACCCAUUAACUGUGGCUGCAGAGCGAUGACAUCUUGCCAGUACGACCUUCAGGAGAAGAUGGUGAAUAGGUGAGGAGGUAAACAGGCUGGAUGGUCUCAGUGGUGCGUGGAGCUGGAUGGGGAUAUCGUCUAGAGCAGUCACAGCAGAGAUGAUUGGACUAGAUAAUUUUAUUGAUCUUUCUAGCCUUAAUGAUUCUGUAAUUCUGUGACAGCAGGAGGACGCUAUGCUGACUUAAUGUUCUACAGACUUUAUGUGCAUUCAGUGAGUUUUAAAUAGUGCUCAUUAGCUGGCCAGACAGUUCACCGAUGAAUUGUUUGUGCCGACCGCUGCUCAUUUAAAUGCUAAUGAAGUUUAAUAUGAUCUUAAAAUAUACACCCUCUUUAAACCUCAACUUACACUGACAGUGCAAGAAGAACAGGAAAUUUCCCUUCUGCUAGCCAACUGUAGUGCCAAGCUUCACGUUUCUUACCCUCUAAUAUGACAAAACAUUCUAUCUGUUGGUCCAGGCAGCUGGUUCAGUUGCAAAAGAUCAAUUUGGCUUCAAAUGCAUUUCCUGGGGAAAACAUGUAGCCUUUCCUGGGAUAUCUGCAUAAGCAGUAAAACGUAGAAAUGCCUUGUUAUGAGUGUUUUUCUUGAGGCUGCUCAUCAGGUGUUUAGCAAGCCAAGAGAACCGACUAAUUUCGAUAACUCCGAUAAGGAGCCCCUCAUGUUUCUCGGCUUCAUUCAUUAUUAUACUUAAUGCAUAAUUACAGCUGGGUAAGAUAUCAUUAGCCAUUAAUUUCCUGUUACUGAUGAUGGUGGAAUUGAGUUGUCACUUGUAAGAGCCUUAUUUCAUGCU
Numida meleagris (helmeted guineafowl) is the source of this 1013-nucleotide long non-coding RNA. RefSeq lists it as uncharacterized. The transcript is spliced from 3 exons. Lineage: Eukaryota; Metazoa; Chordata; Aves; Galliformes; Numididae. The record is from RefSeq and is a predicted model, not a curated record.